UACAGAGGGUGCAAGCGUUGUUCGGAAUUACUGGGCGUAAAGCGUGCGCAGGCGGUUAUGUAAGACAGGUGUGAAAUCCCCGGGCUUAACCUGGGAACUGCAUUUGUGACUGGCGGACUCGAGUAUGGCAGAGGGGGGUAGAAUUCCACGUGUAGCAGUGAAAUGCGUAGAGAUGUGGAGGAAUACCGAUGGCGAAGGCAGCCCCCUGG
This 209-nucleotide ribosomal RNA is filed under the name uncultured bacterium. RNAcentral's name for it is "partial 16S ribosomal RNA". It matches the Rfam family "Bacterial small subunit ribosomal RNA", at positions 524 to 732 of the family's 1533-position model. The record is from RNAcentral.